This 216-nucleotide ribosomal RNA is filed under the name Glomeromycotina sp. Its description in RNAcentral is "partial small subunit ribosomal RNA". The stretch from base 40 to 216 matches the Rfam family "Eukaryotic small subunit ribosomal RNA", at positions 686 to 864 of the family's 1831-position model. The record is from RNAcentral. Lineage: Eukaryota; Fungi; Glomeromycota.
GGGUCAGUAGGUUGGUCGUGCCACCGGUACGUACUGGUCUCACUGAUUCCUCCUUCCUGAAGAACCGUAAUGCCAUUAAUUUGGUGUUGCGGGGAAACAGGACUGUUACUUGGAAAAAAUUAGAGUGUUUAAAGCAAGCUAACGCUUGAUUACCUUAGCAUGGAAUAAUGAAAUAGGACGAUCGAUCCUAUUUUGUUGGUUUCUAGGAUUGACGUA